AUGAAGGCUCUACAGGUUCUUUCUCUUCCAUUCAUCGUUCGUUUGUUGUUAUACUUUAGCUUUGCAUUAUAACAUUGCAAUGAAAUAUUGUAGGCCCAGGUGGAAGAAGCAAGGAAGAAACAAGAGGAGAUGGCGGCGCAGAUGGAGGAAAUGCAGCGGAGGAUGGAGGAGGAAAACCGGAUUAGGAUGGAGCAGAUGUUCCAGUACAUGCAGAACUUUGCUUCGAGCAUGGGACAGUCUUUGCCUCCGCCACCGCCGAUGAUGUUCCCUCCGCCUCAGCCACCCACGACUACUCCUGUGAGUCACUUGACACAUUGUGCUUAAGAUUCAAUACUUUAAAUUUGACAACUUUAGAUGUUAGCUCAGAAUGUCCUAUCCUAUGUGCAGAAUCAAUCGGCGGCUUCGAAUAAUGAAGAUCAAGAUUUGUCGCAGUGGUCUCCUUGGCCUCCACGGAAGUAGACUUGGUUGUGAACAAUGUGGAAACUAAAUUGUGACUUGAACUUGGAU
This 507-nucleotide long non-coding RNA is filed under the name Setaria italica (foxtail millet). Its description in RNAcentral is "long non-coding RNA (SITA_LNC006061)". The record is from RNAcentral. Lineage: Eukaryota; Viridiplantae; Streptophyta; Magnoliopsida; Poales; Poaceae.